GACGAACGCUGGCGGCGUGCCUAAUACAUGCAAGUCGAGCGAAGUUUUUCUGGUGCUUGCACUAGAAAAACUUAGCGGCGAACGGGUGAGUAACACGUAAAGAACCUGCCUCAUAGACUGGGACAACUAUUGGAAACGAUAGCUAAUACCGGAUAACAGUAUUUCUCGCAUGAGAGAUAUUUAAAAGUUGGUUAUGCUAACACUAUGAGAUGGCUUUGCGGUGCAUUAGCUAGUUGGUGGGGUAAAGGCCCACCAAGGCGACGAUGCAUAGCCGACCUGAGAGGGUGAUCGGCCACACUGGGACUGAGACACGGCCCAGACUCCUACGGGAGGCAGCAGUAGGGAAUCUUCCGCAAUGGGCGAAAGCCUGACGGAGCAACGCCGCGUGAGUGAAGAAGGAUUUCGGUUCGUAAAGCUCUGUUGUUAGGGAAGAAUGGAUAUGUAGUAACUAUACAUGUAAGAGACGGACCUAACCAGAAGCCACGCAAUACC
This 492-nucleotide ribosomal RNA is filed under the name Gemella morbillorum. RNAcentral's name for it is "bacterial SSU rRNA". It matches the Rfam family "Bacterial small subunit ribosomal RNA", at positions 28 to 502 of the family's 1533-position model. The record is from RNAcentral. Lineage: Bacteria; Bacillati; Bacillota; Bacilli; Caryophanales; Gemellaceae.